GACGAACGCUGGCGGCGUGCCUAAUACAUGCAAGUUGAGCGCUGAAGGUUGGUACUUGUACCAACUGGAUGAGCAGCGAACGGGUGAGUAACGCGUGGGGAAUCUGCCUUUGAGCGGGGGACAACAUUUGGAAACGAAUGCUAAUACCGCAUAAAAACUUUAAACACAAGUUUUAAGUUUGAAAGAUGCAAUUGCAUCACUCAAAGAUGAUCCCGCGUUGUAUUAGCUAGUUGGUGAGGUAAAGGCUCACCAAGGCGAUGAUACAUAGCCGACCUGAGAGGGUGAUCGGCCACAUUGGACUGAGACACGGCCCAAACUCCUACGGGAGGCAGCAGUAGGGAAUCUUCGGCAAUGGACGAAAGUCUGACCGAGCAACGCCGCGUGAGUGAAGAAGGGUUUCGGAUCGUAAAACUCUGUUGGUAGAGAAGAACGUUGGUGAGAGUGGAAAGCUCAUCAAGUGACGGUAACUACCCAGAAAGGGACGGCUAACUACGUG
RNAcentral lists this ribosomal RNA (496 nucleotides) under uncultured bacterium. RNAcentral's name for it is "partial 16S ribosomal RNA". It matches the Rfam family "Bacterial small subunit ribosomal RNA", at positions 28 to 507 of the family's 1533-position model. The record is from RNAcentral.